This 253-nucleotide ribosomal RNA is filed under the name uncultured bacterium. RNAcentral describes it as "partial 16S ribosomal RNA". It matches the Rfam family "Bacterial small subunit ribosomal RNA", at positions 524 to 776 of the family's 1533-position model. The record is from RNAcentral.
UACGGAGGAGGCAAGCGUUAUCCGGAAUUAUUGGGCGUAAAGCGUCCGCAGGUGGCAGUUCAAGUCUGCUGUCAAAUCCGGUAGCUCAACUACCGUCCGGCAGUGGAAACUGAACAGCUAGAGAGUCGUAGGGGUAGAGGGAAUUCCCGGUGUAGCGGUGAAAUGCGUAGAGAUCGGGAAGAACAUCGGUGGCGAAGGCGCUCUACUGGACGACAUCUGACACUCAGGGACGAAAGCUAGGGGAGCGAAUGGG